RNAcentral lists this ribosomal RNA (890 nucleotides) under uncultured euryarchaeote. RNAcentral's name for it is "bacterial SSU rRNA". It matches the Rfam family "Archaeal small subunit ribosomal RNA", at positions 21 to 904 of the family's 1478-position model. Lineage: Archaea; Methanobacteriati; Methanobacteriota. The record is from RNAcentral.
GGUCACUGCUAUUGGGGUUCGGCUAAGCCAUGCGAGCGGAGGGCGCGGUCGCAAGAUCGUGGCCCCGCACACGGCUCAGUAACACGUAGUCAACCUACCCUUGGGACGGGGACAACGCCGGGAAACUGGCGAUAAUCCCCGAUAGGUGAGGGAUGCUGGGAUGCUUCUUCGCUCAAAGCUCCGGCGCCCGAGGAUGGGACUGCGGCCUAUCAGGCUGUUGGUGGUGUGACGGACCACCAAACCUACGACGGGUACGGGCGAUGGGAGUCGGAGCCUGGAGAUGGGGACUGAGACAAGGCCCCAGGCCCUACGGGGCGCAGCAGGCGCGAAAACUCCGCAAUGCGCGCAAGCGUGACGGGGGAACCCCAAGUGCCGUUGGCUUUUGAUCGACGGCUUUUCGGAAGUCCAAUAAGCUUCCGGAAUAAGGGCUGGGUAAGACUGGUGCCAGCCGCCGCGGUAACACCAGCAGCCCAAGUGGUGGCCGCGAUAUUGGGCCUAAAGCGCUCGUAGCCGGAUCAGCAAGUCCUUUGUGAAAUCGGACCGCCCAACGGUUCGGCGUGCAAAGGAUACUGUUGGUCUUGAGACCGGGAGAGGUCGGAGGUACUCUUGGGGUAGCGGUGAAAUGCUGUAAUCCUGGGGGGACCACCAGUGGCGAAGGCGUCCGACCAGAACGGAUCUGACGGUGAGGGGCGAAGGCUAGGGGAGCGAACGGGAUUAGAUACCCCGGUAGUCCUAGCUGUAAAGCAUGCGGGCCAGGUGUCUAGCGCUCCUUGAGGGCGCUAUGUGCCGGAGGGAAGCCGUUAAGCCCGCCGCCUGGGAAGUACGGCCGCAAGGCUGAAACUUAAAGAAAUUGGCGGGGGAGCACCACAAGGGGUGGAACCUGCGGUUCA